UAAGGCCUGGCUGAACAAGUGCCUAAGGAUUGCUUAUCCUUAAGGAAGAAAAGUCUCUGAGCCAAAACUAACAAACAUGGCUUCUCAAGCGGAACAAUGGUCCAGAAAACUCAGCAAAAAGGAAAAUAAACUUCAUUGGCAGUUUGUUUUUGACUGUUAAGAGCCCAGCUACAACUCUAUCAAGAUUUUUAAGAAGGUCUAAAGAAAAAAAAAGUCAUGUCAAGCCAAUAUUAGGACUCACAUCUUCUAAUUUCUAGAUUCCUGAAUAUGGUGGAUAUAUUCCUAAUUUUGACAUCAGUCUCUGCUAACUAGACAAGCAGAAAAAUUGGACCAUUCUGUUUAAACUUAAAGCAAAAUAUCCUUAAGGUGUCACACAAAAAAAGUUCUCAAGAGACUGAUAAAGAAGAGUUAUUUUCAUCUCAAAAUGAGAAAGCAUGGAAGAAUGACUAUUUAUAACAGAUUUGCUAUCAAUAUGACUUGCCCCUUUCUUUUUCUAAUUGUUUAUGUAGCUUGUCUUUCUAUAGUUUAGAGAAUUCAUGGAAUAAUCACCAUUUCUUUGCCUGGUUUCUUUGCCAAUAAUCAUUGAUAAAGGCAUCUAAGGGUGUUUACACUGGCCCUAGGAGAAUAAAAUACCUACUCUGAUAUAUUUUUAGUUUAAUAUUUUUCCCAAUGUACUCAUCUUAAAAUAAAAAUAAAAUGAUUUUACUUCUG
Antechinus flavipes (yellow-footed antechinus) is the source of this 711-nucleotide long non-coding RNA. RefSeq lists it as uncharacterized. The record is from RefSeq and is a predicted model, not a curated record. The transcript is spliced from 3 exons. Lineage: Eukaryota; Metazoa; Chordata; Mammalia; Dasyuromorphia; Dasyuridae.